RNAcentral lists this ribosomal RNA (889 nucleotides) under Chloroflexi bacterium enrichment culture clone B31117. RNAcentral's name for it is "bacterial SSU rRNA". It matches the Rfam family "Bacterial small subunit ribosomal RNA", at positions 8 to 916 of the family's 1533-position model. The record is from RNAcentral. Lineage: Bacteria; Bacillati; Chloroflexota.
AGAGUUUGAUCAUGGCUCAGGAUGAACGUUGGCGGUGUGCCUAAUACAUGCAAGUCGAACGGAGUUAAUAGCAAUAUUGACUUAGUGGCGAACGGGUGAGUAACGCGUUGGUGAUCUGCCUCGAAGUGUGGAAUAACGUUCCGAAAGGAUCGCUAAUACCGCAUGUGCUCUUGAUUUUUAGAAAGUUGAGAGUAAAGGAUUUAUUCGCUUCGAGAGGAGCCUGCGUCCCAUCAGCUGGUUGGUAGGGUAACGGCCUACCAAGGCUAUGACGGGUAGGGGACCUGAAAGGGUGGCCCCCCACAAUGGAACUGAAACACGGUCCAUACACCUACGGGUGGCAGCAGUAGGGAAUAUUAGAAAUGGACGAAAGUCUGAUCUAGCACCACCGCGUGUGCGAAGAAGGCCUUCGGGUCGUAAAGCACUUUUUGGAAGGAAUAGGAAGGAAUGUACUUCCAGAAUAAGUCUCGGCUAACUACGUGCCAGCAGCCGCGGUAACACGUAGGAGGCAAACGUUAUCCGGAUUUACUGGGCGUAAAGCGCGUGUAGGUGGUACUGUAAGUAGGGCGUGAAAGCUCCCGGCUCAACUGGGAGAGGCCGUUCUAAACUGCAGAACUAGAGGAUGGUAGAGGGAGGUGGAAUUCCAGGUGUAGCGGUGGAAUGCGCAGAUAUCUGGAGGAACACCAGUGGCGAAGGCGGCCUCCUGGACCAUUCCUGACACUCAGACGCGAAAGCUAGGGUAGCAAACGGGAUUAGAGACCCCGGUAGUCCUAGCCCUAAACGAUGUAGACUAGGCGUCGGUGGUUUAAUCACCAUCGGUGUCCAAGCUAACGCGAUAAGUCUACCGCCUGGGGACUACGGCCGCAAGGUUAAAACUCAAAUGAAUUGACGG